RNAcentral lists this ribosomal RNA (392 nucleotides) under uncultured bacterium. RNAcentral's name for it is "bacterial SSU rRNA". It matches the Rfam family "Bacterial small subunit ribosomal RNA", at positions 29 to 420 of the family's 1533-position model. The record is from RNAcentral.
AUUGAACGCUGGCGGCAUGCCUUACACAUGCAAGUCGAACGGCAGCACGGGAGCUUGCUCCUGGUGGCGAGUGGCGAACGGGUGAGUAAUACAUCGGAACGUACCAUUGAGUGGGGGAUAACGUAGCGAAAGUUGCGCUAAUACCGCAUAUUCUGUGAGCAGGAAAGCAGGGGAUCGCAAGACCUUGCGCUCUGGGAGCGGCCGAUGUCGGAUUAGCUAGUUGGUGGGGUAAAGGCCUACCAAGGCGACGAUCCGUAGCGGGUCUGAGAGGAUGAUCCGCCACACUGGGACUGAGACACGGCCCAGACUCCUACGGGAGGCAGCAGUGGGGAAUUUUGGACAAUGGGCGGAAGCCUGAUCCAGCCAUGCCGCGUGAGUGAAGAAGGCCUCGG